AGAGUUUGAUCAUGGCUCAGAUUGAACGCUGGCGGCAGGCUUAACACAUGCAAGUCGAACGGUAACAGGGAGAAAGCUUGCUUUCUUUGCUGACGAGUGGCGGACGGGUGAGUAAUGCUUGGGAAUCUGGCUUAUGGAGGGGGAUAACUACGGGAAACUGUAGCUAAUACCGCGUAAUAUCUUCGGAUUAAAGGGUGGGACCGUAAGGCCACCUGCCAUAAGAUGAGCCCAAGUGGGAUUAGGUAGUUGGUGGGGUAAAGGCCUACCAAGCCGACGAUCUCUAGCUGGUCCGAGAGGAUGACCAGCCACACUGGAACUGAGACACGGUCCAGACUCCUACGGGAGGCAGCAGUGGGGAAUAUUGCACAAUGGGGGGAACCCUGAUGCAGCCAUGCCGCGUGAAUGAAGAAGGCCUUCGGGUUGUAAAGUUCUUUCGGUGAUGAGGAAGGCGGUUGUUUUAAUAGAACAAUCGAUUGACGUUAGUCACAGAAGAAGCACCGGCUAACUCCGUGCCAGCAGCCGCGGUAAUACGGAGGGUGCGAGCGUUAAUCGGAAUGACUGGGCGUAAAGGGCACGCAGGCGGUGACUUAAGUGAGAUGUGAAAGCCCCGGGCUUAACCUGGGAAUUGCAUUUCAUACUGGGUUGCUAGAGUAUUUUAGGGAGGGGUAGAAUUCCACGUGUAGCGGUGAAAUGCGUAGAGAUGUGGAGGAAUACCGAAGGCGAAGGCAGCCCCUUGGGAAUAUACUGACGCUCAUGUGCGAAAGCGUGGGGAGCAAACAGGAUUAGAUACCCUGGUAGUCCACGCUGUAAACGCUGUCUGAUUUGGGGAUUGGGCUU
Molecule: ribosomal RNA, 837 nt
Filed under: uncultured bacterium
Lineage: Bacteria
Description: bacterial SSU rRNA
Rfam family: Bacterial small subunit ribosomal RNA
Source: RNAcentral